This 556-nucleotide ribosomal RNA is filed under the name uncultured cyanobacterium. RNAcentral describes it as "bacterial SSU rRNA". It matches the Rfam family "Bacterial small subunit ribosomal RNA", at positions 1 to 604 of the family's 1533-position model. The record is from RNAcentral. Lineage: Bacteria; Bacillati; Cyanobacteriota.
AGAAGUUUGAUCCUGGCUCAGGAUGAACGCUGGCGGUAUGCUUUACACAUGCAAGUCGUACGAGAGUUUUUAACUCAAGUGGCGGACGGGUGAGUAACACGUAAGAAUUUGCCUUUAGGAGGGGGAUAACAACUGGAAACGGUUGCUAAUACCCCAUAUGCUUUCGAGUGAAACGGUUUUUCCGCCUAAAGAGAAGCUUGCGGCUGAUUAGCUUGUUGGUGAGGUAAUGGCUCACCAAGGCGACGAUCAGUAUCUGGUUUGAGAGGACGAUCAGACACACUGGAACUGAGACACGGUCCAGACUCCUACGGGAGGCAGCAGUGGGGAAUUUUCCGCAAUGGGCGAAAGCCUGACGGAGCAAUACCGCGUGAGGGAUGACGGCCUAUGGGUUGUAAACCUCUUUUUUCAGGGAGGAAUAAAUGACGUGUACCUGAGGAAUAAGCAUCGGCUAACUCCGUGCCAGCAGACGCGGUAAUACGGAGGGUGCAAGCGUUAUCCGGAAUCACUGGGUUUAAAGGGUGCGUAGGCGGAUGAUUAAGUCAGUGGUGAAAGCUGG